CGGACGGGUGAGUAACGCGUGAGAAUCUGCCUCCAGGUCGGGGACAACAGCGGGAAACUGCUGCUAAUCCCGGAUAAGCCCUAGGGUAAAAGAUUUAUUGCCUGGAGAGGAGCUCGCGUCCGAUUAGCUAGAUGGUGAGGUAAGAGCUCACCAUGGCGACGAUCGGUAGCUGUUCUGAGAGGAAGAUCAGCCACACUGGGACUGAGACACGGCCCAGACUCCUACGGGAGGCAGCAGUGGGGAAUUUUCCGCAAUGGGCGAAAGCCUGAUGGAGCAAGACCGCGUGCGGGAAGAAGGCCCUUGGGUCGUAAACCGCUUUUCUUAGGGAAGAAGCUCUGACGGUACCUAAGGAAUCAGCCUCGGCUAACUCCGUGCCAGCAGCCGCGGUAAUACGGAGGAGGCAAGCGUUAUCCGGAAUUAUUGGGCGUAAAGCGUCCGCAGGCGGCUUAUCAAGUCUGCUGUCAAAGACUGGGGCUCAACCCUGGGGAGGCAGUGGAAACUGAGAAGCUAGAGUGCAGUAGGGGUAGAGGGAAUUCCCAGUGUAGCGGUGAAAUGCGUAGAGAUUGGGAAGAACACCGGUGGCGAAAGCGCUCUACUGGGCUGCAACUGACGCUGAGGGACGAAAGCUAGGGGAGCGAAAGGGAUUAGAUACCCCUGUAGU
This 661-nucleotide ribosomal RNA is filed under the name uncultured cyanobacterium. RNAcentral's name for it is "bacterial SSU rRNA". It matches the Rfam family "Bacterial small subunit ribosomal RNA", at positions 99 to 794 of the family's 1533-position model. The record is from RNAcentral. Lineage: Bacteria; Bacillati; Cyanobacteriota.